RNAcentral lists this ribosomal RNA (253 nucleotides) under uncultured bacterium. RNAcentral's name for it is "partial 16S ribosomal RNA". It matches the Rfam family "Bacterial small subunit ribosomal RNA", at positions 524 to 776 of the family's 1533-position model. The record is from RNAcentral.
UACGUAGGGUGCAAGCGUUGUCCGGAAUUAUUGGGCGUAAAGAGCUCGUAGGCGGUCUGUCGCGUCGGCUGUGAAAUCCCGAGGCUCAACCUCGGGUCUGCAGUCGAUACGGGCAAACUGGAGUGUUGCAGGGGAGACUGGAAUUCCUGGUGUAGCGGUGAAAUGCGCAGAUAUCAGGAGGAACACCGGUGGCGAAGGCGGGUCUCUGGGCCGUAACUGACGCUGAGGAGCGAAAGCAUGGGGAGCGAACAGG